CUCAGUUGGUAGAGCAGAGGACUGAAAAUCCUCGUGUCACCAGUUC
This 46-nucleotide transfer RNA is filed under the name Abies forrestii. Its description in RNAcentral is "partial tRNA-Phe". The record is from RNAcentral. RNAcentral also lists the same sequence under 1 other name. Lineage: Eukaryota; Viridiplantae; Streptophyta; Pinopsida; Pinales; Pinaceae.